Stegodyphus mimosarum is the source of this 73-nucleotide non-coding RNA. The record is from Rfam. Lineage: Eukaryota; Metazoa; Arthropoda; Arachnida; Araneae; Eresidae.
GCCUUUGUGUUGUAGUGGUCAGCACGCUCGACGCGUAACCGAGAGGUCCGUGGUUCGAUUCCCGGCGAAAGCG